Molecule: ribosomal RNA, 481 nt
Filed under: uncultured bacterium
Lineage: Bacteria
Description: partial 16S ribosomal RNA
Rfam family: Bacterial small subunit ribosomal RNA
Source: RNAcentral
GAUGAACGCUGGCGGCGUGCCUAACACAUGCAAGUCGAACGGAGAUUCCGGACGGACGUUUUCGGAUGGAAGCCUGUAAUUCUUAGUGGCGGACGGGUGAGUAACGCGUGGGCAACCUGCCCUAUACAGGGGGAUAGCAGCUGGAAACGGCUGGUAAGACCGCAUAAGUCGGUUAAAUCGCAUGAUUUGAUCGGGAAAUGAGCAAUCAGGUAUAGGAUGGGCCCGCGUCCGAUUAGCCAGUUGGCAGGGUAAAAGCCUACCAAAGCGACGAUCGGUAGCCGGACUGAGAGGUCGGACGGCCACAUUGGGACUGAGACACGGCCCAAACUCCUACGGGAGGCAGCAGUGGGGGAUAUUGCACAAUGGAGGAAACUCUGAUGCAGCGACGCCGCGUGAGUGAAGAAGUAUUUCGGUAUGUAAAGCUCUAUCAGCAGGGAAGAUGAUGACGGUACCUGACUAAGAAGCCCCGGCUAACUACGUG